RNAcentral lists this ribosomal RNA (502 nucleotides) under uncultured Acidobacteriota bacterium. RNAcentral describes it as "bacterial SSU rRNA". It matches the Rfam family "Bacterial small subunit ribosomal RNA", at positions 38 to 572 of the family's 1533-position model. Lineage: Bacteria; Pseudomonadati; Acidobacteriota. The record is from RNAcentral.
GGCGGCGCGCCUAACACAUGCAAGUCGAACGAGAAAGUGGAGCAAUCCAUGAGUAAAGUGGCGUACGGGUGAGUAACACGUGGAUAAUCUGCCCUUUAGUGGGGAAUACCGCUGGGAAACCGGCGACAAUACCGCAUAAGCUCGAGAGAGGAAAGCAGCAAUGCGCUGAAGGAGGAGUCCGCGGUCGAUUAGCUAGUUGGUGAGGUAAUGGCUCACCAAGGCUGUGAUCGAUAGCCGGCCUGAGAGGGCACACGGCCACACUGGCACUGAAACACGGGCCAGACUCCUACGGGAGGCAGCAGUGGGGAAUCUUGCACAAUGGGGGCAACCCUGAUGCAGCGACGCCGCGUGAGCGAUGAAGCCCUUCGGGGUGUAAAGCUCUUUCGGCAGGGAAGAUUAUGACGGUACCUGCAGAAGCAGCUGCGGCUAACUACGUGCCAGCAGCCGCGGUAAUACGUAGGCAGCAAGCGUUGUUCGGAGUUACUGGGCGUAAAGGGUGCGU